Molecule: ribosomal RNA, 515 nt
Filed under: uncultured bacterium
Lineage: Bacteria
Description: partial 16S ribosomal RNA
Rfam family: Bacterial small subunit ribosomal RNA
Source: RNAcentral
GAUGAACGCUGGCGGCGUGCCUAAUACAUGCAAGUCGAGCGAAUGGAUUAAGAGCUUGCUCUUAUGAAGUUAGCGGCGGACGGGUGAGUAACACGUGGGUAACCUGCCCAUAAGACUGGGAUAACUCCGGGAAACCGGGGCUAAUACCGGAUAACACUUUGAACCGCACGGUUCGAAAUUGAAAGGCGGCUUCGGCUGUCACUUAUGGAUGGACCCGCGUCGCAUUAGCUAGUUGGUGAGGUAACGGCUCACCAAGGCAACGAUGCGUAGCCGACCUGAGAGGGUGAUCGGCCACACUGGGACUGGGACACGGCCCAGACUCCUACGGGAGGCAGCAGUAGGGAAUCUUCCGCAAUGGACGAAAGUCUGACGGAGCAACGCCGCGUGAGUGAUGAAGGCUUUCGGGUCGUAAAACUCUGUUGUUAGGGAAGAACAAGUGCUAGUUGAAUAAGCUGGCACCUUGACGGUACCUAACCAGAAAGCCACGGCUAACUACGUGCCAGCCGCCGCCGUAA